Corapipo altera (White-ruffed manakin) is the source of this 3687-nucleotide RNA transcript. It is a transcript of the gene named SPT20 homolog, SAGA complex component, with no coding region annotated. NCBI's taxonomy places the organism in Eukaryota, Metazoa, Chordata, Aves, Passeriformes, Pipridae. The record is from RefSeq and is a predicted model, not a curated record. The transcript has 22 exons.
CUCCAUGGCGCCGCUCCCGCCCCUUCCGGAGCGGCUCGGAAGCGGCGGGGUGGAUGGUCGGGCGGGCGGCGGGGCCGAUGCACCGGGGGCUCCGCGGGACAGGCCCACAGUACCUCAAGUGUGACCAUAAAAUAUGAUUCUUUCCCUGCUGCACCAAACUCCCUAAGUACUUCUUUUGUAGUUUGGUCGCGUGGCCUCAACUACAAUGCAACAAGCUUUAGAACAGGCAUUGGAUCGUGCUGAGUAUAUCAUUGAAAGUGCCCGUCAGAGACCUCCCAAAAGAAAAUAUUUAUCCAGUGGAAGAAAAUCUGUGUUUCAAAAACUGUAUGAUUUAUAUACAGAAGAAUGUGAAAAAGAGCCCGAGAUAAAGCAGAAGCUGAGACGAAAUGUGAAUUUACUUGAGAAGCUGGUUAUGCAGGAGACGUUGUCAUGUCUGGUAGUGAACCUCUAUCCAGGAAAUGAGGGUUAUUCACUUAUGCUCAGGGGAAAAAAUGGUUCAGAUUCUGAGACCAUUCGUCUGCCUUAUGAGGAAGCAGAACUGCUUGAAUAUUUGGAUGCAGAGGAACUACCACCUAUUUUGGUUGAUCUUUUGGAAAAAUCACAGGUUAAUAUUUUUCAUUGUGGAUGUGUCAUAGCAGAAAUACGUGACUAUAGACAGUCUGGUAACAUGAAAUCUCCAACAUACCAAAGCAAGCACAUUCUUUUGCGUCCUACAAUGCAGACUUUAAUUUGUGAUGUGCAUUCUAUAACAAGUGACAACCACAAAUGGACACAGGAGGACAAACUCCUACUUGAGAGCCAACUUAUUUUGGCUACAGCAGAGCCUUUGUGUCUUGAUCCUUCAAUAGCAGUGACGUGUACUACAAACAGACUCCUGUACAACAAGCAGAAGAUGAACACUCGCCCAAUGAAACGAUGCUUCAAAAGGUACUCAAGGUCCUCUCUGAACAGACAGCAGGAAGUAGCUCACUACUCAGCUCCACCUCAGCUCAGAAUACUUGACUACUUACAGAAAAGGAAGGAGAGGAAAGCAGCCCAGCAGUAUGACCUCAAAAUUUCUAAAGCUGGAAAUUGCGUAGAUAUGUGGAAACAGAACCCUUGCUACUUGACUGCACCUUCUGAAGUAGACGUGGAAAAAUAUGCCAAAGUGGAAAAGUCUAUCAAGCCUGAUGACUCACAACCAACUGUCUGGCCAGCACAUGAAAUAAAAGAUGAUUAUGUAUUUGAAUGUGAAGUUGGUAAUCAGCUUCAAAAAACAAAACUGACCAUUUUCCAGUCUCUUGGCAAUCCCUUGUACUAUGGUAAAAUUCAGACACUCAAAGGUGAUGAGGAAAAUGACAACCUAUUAACUCCAUCACAGUUCCUUAUUGGUUCGAAGACUGAUGCUGAAAGGGUGGUGAACCAGUAUCAGGAGUUAGUACAAAGUGAAGCUAAAUGUCCUGUGAAAAUAUUUCAUAAUUCAAGUGGAUCAGUCAAUCUUAGUCAUCUUUCUCCAGGGAAGGAAAUGGAACAGCCAGAAAGCAUAUCAGGUUCUGUUCAGUCUUCAGUGCUGGGGAAAGGUGUAAAACACCGACCUCCUCCUAUCAAAUUACCUUCAAGUUCAGGAAGUAGUUCUUCAGGUAAUAUUUUUAGUUCACAACAGUCAAGUGGCCAUCUAAAAUCCCCAACUCCUCCUCCUCCUUCUAAGCCUCCUGGUCUUUCUCGGAAACAAUCUAUGGAUCUUAAUCAAGUUAGCAUGCUCUCUCCAGCUGCCAUGUCUCCUGCGAGCUCUUCACAAAGGUCUGGAACUCCUAAACCAUCUACUCCUACUCCAACCAACACCCCUUCAUCGACCCCACACCCUCCUGAUGCUCAGAGCUCAACUCCUAUUACCCCUUCUGCCACCCCUACUCCCCAAGAUUCAGGCUUCACCCCUCAGCCCACUUUGUUAACCCCGUUUGCUCAGCAGCAAAUGUCUCUGAGCCAGGCACUGCCUGUAAUGACCAUUCCUCUUUCCACCAUGGUAACAUCCAUUACUACAGGAACAGCCUCCACCCAGGUCAUGGCAAACCCUGCAGGACUUAACUUCAUCAAUGUAGUGGGCUCUGUGUGUGGAGCACAGUCACUGAUGAGUGGUUCAAACCCUAUGCUGGGGUGCAACACUGGUGCCAUUGCCCCUGCGGGUAUAAAUCUGAGUGGCAUUUUACCGUCAGGAGGUCUGGUACCAAGUGCGCUGCCCGCUGCAAUGCAGUCUGCCUCUCAAGCAGACUGUCCAAUUUGCUUACAUCCUUCUUAAAAUGUGAUAACCAAAACUGGACACAAGCCUGAGCUUGGCUGAUUUACCACUGUGGAGCACAGCAGAAUAAAUGCAUCUCAUCUCUUUUACAACAUUCCUGUUAACAUUUCCCCAAAUGAGGUCUGCCUGUUUUUUAUCUGUAUUUUUUUGCAACAGCAUUACAUUAACAUAAGAAUGGCUUUACUGGUUUAGGCCAAAAAUCCAUCCAGUUUAUAUUCUGUCUCUGACAGUUGCCAUUAGAGGAUACUGAGGAAAGAGUUUAAGAUAAGGCAAAAGUGUGAAGUAAAACAUCCCUUCUCUACAACUGUACCUCUUCUGGCAAUCUACAGCAUUGAGACAUUCUAAGCUGAAGAAUAUCCACAUGGAUCUUUGUGCUUAAUAUCCCAUGCUAGAUUUCUAGUCUGUGGAUUUAUCUAAUUGGUUUCUGAACCCAUUUAUAUUUCUGGAACCUACAGCAUCUUGUGACAGUGAAUUUUAUAAAUGUAAACUCUCUGAAGAGGUUCUUUUCUUUUGUGUGCUCUGUAGUUUGUGAUAUGGAUGAUUUGGAUAUGUUUGUGACUUAUUGUAACUUCUCAUGUCCUUUCUUGCUGUAUAGACACAAAGCUAGUUACAAGUUUGUACUUGUUCAUUUGUCUUUUUUAAAUUCAGUGUUAUUGAAUUUUGGACCAUUUGUUCAAUUCACUAGGAUCACUUUUAGUCUAACUCUGCCCUUUCAGGCACUACCAACCUUUACCACUUUGGUGUCACAGAUUUUUCCAUGCUGUGCUGUCGCCCACACAACAGAUGGGAGUAGUGAACUGAGCUGGGUCUGUGUGAGACCUCCAGGGAUUCUGCUUGAUAGCUGCUGGCUUACUGGAGAGCUGCUCAGAUUUUGUGUGGGAUUGUUUUCUGUUAAAGAUUGAUAAACUGAGAGUGUCUUACUUGAUUGAGACCAUGGAGUUUUUUGCAUUUACUGCACAAACAGUAAAAGUUUUUAAAGGCAGAAUAAGAAUCACUGAAGAGUAACUGCUAGGGUUCUCCAUUCACCUUUGUCUAAAUGCAUUAACAAGUUAUAGGUUACAAGGUGCAGUGUUUAGUAGCAAUAUAGCUCUCUUGUACUUUGAGUCUGAAUAACUAUGAAUUUUACAUUAUGGAAAAUGCAGCAUUGUAUUAAGUAUAAAAUUCACACUUGCCAGUUUUCCAACUUCUAAAUGUUUAGGAAAUAGUCCCAGUGGAAAGGUAUAUUGCAAUUCGCAAAUAUAACUGAGUAAAGCCUCCCUACUAAUGAAAAGAUGUUCUCUUUAACAGGCAGCCCCUUUGGUUUGAAAAAUACAUCAAAUCUUCGGCCCUUAAAUCUUCUACAGGGGUCUGACCAAGGUCCAUCCAAUCAAGAUCAGGCAUUAUCUGCCCAACAAGCUGCUGUAAUUAACCUG